CAUUCCAUAAAAAAACAGGGGGGUCAUUAAAGAAAGGCAGGGGAGAACUUUUGAUGCUGCUUUUCAGGCAUCCCGUUCAGACUUAACCUGGACAUUAAUACAGAUGCCUGGUGGAUGGCAUUGUCACUCAUGUUGAUGAAAUCUUCAAAGACAGGCCAUGAUUCAGGCUCAGAACACCCUACCCAAGCUCCCAUAGAGACCAAAGAUGUUGUUACAAGAGAGCAGAAGACUAUUGAACUGUGUUUCCUAAAAAAGAUAUGCUUCUGUACCAGCACCUCAGAAUGCAGUUUUAUUUGGGAAUGAGGUCAUUGCAAAUAAAAUUGGUUAAGAUGAGGUCAUGUUGGAGUAGAAUGGAACCCCAAUCCAAUAUGGUAUCCUUAUAAGAAGACAGCCAUGUGAAGACACAGAGACACAGGGAGAAUGCCAUGUGAAGAUGGAAACAGAUUAAAAUGAUGCCUUUAAAGCCAAGAAACCCCAAGGAUUGCUGGCCAUCACCAGCAAGUAGAAGAGAGGCAUGAAUUCUCCCUCAGAAAGAAUCGAUUCUGCUGACAUCUUGAUCUUGCACUUCUAGCCUCUACAACUAUGGGAUAUUAAACUUCUGUUGUUUUAAGUCA
Molecule: long non-coding RNA, 614 nt
Organism: Acinonyx jubatus (cheetah)
Lineage: Eukaryota; Metazoa; Chordata; Mammalia; Carnivora; Felidae
Exons: 3
Source: RefSeq, a predicted model, not a curated record